AGUGAACGCUGGCGGCAUGCCUAACACAUGCAAGUCGAACGGCCGCACAGUGAGCUUUCUCUCCUACCGUUGGCGACUGGCGGGUGAGUGACAAGUACAUCGCAAUCUUCUUUUUCUUGGAGGACAACGUGAGGAAACAUACGCUACCACAGCAUAUGAUGUACGGGUGAAAGCAAGGGAUCUUGGCAGCUUUCGUGUCUCUAUGAGACGGUGUCGCAUUAGAUAGUUGGCGUGGUAAAGGCCCACCAAGGCAACGAUACGUAGCUGGUCUGAGAGGAUGAUCAGCCACACUGGAACUGAGACACGGUCCAGACUCCUACGGGAGGCAGCAGUAGGGAAUAUUGCACAAAGGGCGAAAGCCUGACGGAGCCACGCCGCGUGAGUGAAGAAGGCCUUCGGAUUGUAAAGCUCUUUUGUUAGGGAAGAAAAACUGUGGGAGAAUAUCCGGACGUCUUGACGGUACCUAAAGAAUAAGCACCGGCUAACUACGUG
This 492-nucleotide ribosomal RNA is filed under the name uncultured bacterium. Its description in RNAcentral is "partial 16S ribosomal RNA". It matches the Rfam family "Bacterial small subunit ribosomal RNA", at positions 29 to 507 of the family's 1533-position model. The record is from RNAcentral.